This 342-nucleotide unclassified non-coding RNA is filed under the name uncultured fungus. RNAcentral's name for it is "sequence contains ITS1". The stretch from base 1 to 103 matches the Rfam family "5.8S ribosomal RNA", at positions 50 to 154 of the family's 154-position model. Lineage: Eukaryota; Fungi. The record is from RNAcentral.
GAAGUGCGAUAAGCAAUGCGAAUUGCAGAACCGUGAGUCAUCAGAUUUUUGAACGUAACUGGCGCCGAUUGGUCCUCCAGUCGGCAUGCUUGUUUCAGUGUCUUGUUUUCUCCUCACCCAAAUCAUAAUGCGAGAGAUACCCUUCUCCCGUUAAACAUGAAAGUACUCUGCGCUCUGCAGGCGACUUCUAUGGCCUAGCCUAGUGUCGCACUCAAUGCAGCCGUCACAUUUCACAAUGUGAACUCAUUGAGAGCGGAGGCAGUGCAGCUUUUAGCUGCCAGUGCUUAGUCACUUAAACUUUACUUGCAUCUGAAAUCAAGCAGGACCACCCGCUGAACUUAA